Long non-coding RNA from Oncorhynchus tshawytscha (Chinook salmon), 475 nucleotides. NCBI's taxonomy places the organism in Eukaryota, Metazoa, Chordata, Actinopteri, Salmoniformes, Salmonidae. The record is from Ensembl.
AUUUUUACUUGGAUUAAAUGUCAGGAAUUGUGAAAACUGAGUUUAAAUGUAUUUGGCUAAGGUGUAUGUAAACUUCCGACUCCAGCUGUAUUUACAGUGAGUGUGUCACAGUCCUUAGUGUCAGGACCAAACCCAAACAGCGUCUUAUUCAACAACCUGUCAUGACAUGAUGGGUUAGUUGAGAUUGUGAGGUAAGAAUGUGGGUGAGAUUGUGAGGUAAGAUGGUGGGUGAGGUUGUGCGGUAAGAUGGUGGGUGAGGUUGUGCGGUAAGAUGGUGGGUGAGGUUGUGCGGUAAGACGGUGGGUGAGGUUGUGCAGUAAGAUGGUGGUUGAGGUUAUGCAGUAAGAUGGUGGGUGAGCUGAGACUGACUCUUGGGAGGCCAUGGUUUGGGCGACCACACAGUCUUGGGACGAGCGUUGAUAUCCGCUACACGGUCAUUGAAUCUGGCGUGGUCUGUGGUCACAGUGCUGUAUGU